GACCCGGUAGCUCAGUUGGUAGAGCAGCGGCCUUUUAAGCCGUAGGUCGUGGGUUCGAUCCCCACCCGGGUCAC
RNAcentral lists this transfer RNA (74 nucleotides) under Gemmatimonadota bacterium. RNAcentral describes it as "tRNA-Lys". It matches the Rfam family "tRNA". Rfam says of the family: Transfer RNA (tRNA) molecules are approximately 80 nucleotides in length. Their secondary structure includes four short double-helical elements and three loops (D, anti-codon, and T loops). Lineage: Bacteria; Pseudomonadati; Gemmatimonadota. The record is from RNAcentral.